GUGCCAGCAGCCGCGGUAAUACGAAGGUGGCGAGCGUUGUUCGGAAUCACUGGGCUUAAAGAGCACGUAGGCGGACUGCCAAGCGUCUUGUGAAAUCCCCCGGCUCAACCGGGGAAUUGCUGGGCGAACUGGUAGUCUUGAGGCAAGUAGGGGCAGAUGGAACUCUUGGUGGAGCGGUGGAAUGCGUAGAUAUCAAGAGGAACGCCAGAGGCGAAGCCGAUCUGCUGGGCUUGACCUGACGCUGAGGUGCGAAAGCCAGGGGAGCAAACGGGAUUAGAUACCCCGGUAGUCCUGGCCAUAAACGAUGUCCACUAGAUCGGUGAACUUCUGACAGUGUGCCGGUCGAAACAAAAGCGUUAAGUGGACCGCCUGGGGAGUACGGUCGCAAGGCUAAAACUCAAAGGAAUUGACGGGGGCUCACACAAGCGGUGGAGCAUGUUGCUUAAUUCGAUGCAACGCGAAGAACCUUAUCCUGGGCUUGACAUGCUUGGAUGCCCAUCUGGAAACAGAGUAGGCUGCCCUUCGGGGUGAAACUUGCACAGGUGCUGCAUGGCUGUCGUCAGCUCGUGUCGUGAGAUGUUGGGUUAAGUCCCGUAACGAGCGAAACCCUUGUCGUUAGUUGCCAGCGCGUAAUGGCGGGGACUCUAGCGAGACUGCCGGUGUUAAACCGGAGGAAGGUGGGGAUGACGUCAAGUCCUCAUGGCCUUUAUGCCCAGGGCUGCAAACGUGCUACAAUGGCGAGGACAAACCGACGCAAAGCCGCGAGGUCGAGCAAAUCGGAGAAACCUUGCCCCAGUUCGGAUUGGAGUCUGCAACUCGACUCCAUGAAGUCGGAAUCGCUAGUA
This 845-nucleotide ribosomal RNA is filed under the name uncultured organism. RNAcentral describes it as "bacterial SSU rRNA". It matches the Rfam family "Bacterial small subunit ribosomal RNA", at positions 505 to 1340 of the family's 1533-position model. The record is from RNAcentral.